GUUUACGGCCAUACCACCCUGAAAGCGCCCGAUCUCGUCUGAUCUCGGAAGCGAAACAGCGUGGGGCCUGGUCAGUACUUGGAUGGGAGACUGCCUGAGAAUACCAGGUGCUGUAAGCU
Molecule: ribosomal RNA, 119 nt
Filed under: Sphaeramia orbicularis (orbiculate cardinalfish)
Lineage: Eukaryota; Metazoa; Chordata; Actinopteri; Kurtiformes; Apogonidae
Source: RNAcentral